This 50-nucleotide non-coding RNA is filed under the name unclassified sequences. Its description in RNAcentral is "chromate-resist RNA". It matches the Rfam family "chrB-b RNA". The record is from RNAcentral.
CGGGGGUAAUGCAGCCUCCCGUUAAGUGGUUCAUCCCAUGCAAGCGCUGC